This 196-nucleotide ribosomal RNA is filed under the name uncultured bacterium. RNAcentral describes it as "partial 16S ribosomal RNA". It matches the Rfam family "Bacterial small subunit ribosomal RNA", at positions 1297 to 1500 of the family's 1533-position model. The record is from RNAcentral.
AUUGGAGUCUGCAACCCGACUCCANGAAGCUGGAUUCGCUAGUAAUCGCGCAUCAGCCACGGCGCGGUGAAUACGUUCCCGGGCCUUGUACACACCGCCCGUCAAGCCAUGGAAGCCGGGAGUGCCUGAAGUGCGUGAGCGCAAGCAGCGCCCUAAGGUAAAACCGGUGACUGGGGCUAAGUCGUAACAAGGUAUC